Neofelis nebulosa (Clouded leopard) is the source of this 682-nucleotide long non-coding RNA. RefSeq lists it as uncharacterized. The record is from RefSeq and is a predicted model, not a curated record. The transcript has 3 exons. Lineage: Eukaryota; Metazoa; Chordata; Mammalia; Carnivora; Felidae.
AAACAAAACAGCAGCUAAGGUUCAGUGAGUGUGGACACCUCCAGAUCCUCCAGGAGUAAGAAUGUAGACAGAUUUAUGCAGAGGCUUCCUAUUAGACAUUCGCCUUUGGACAGAAUCCAUUCUUAGUCUUCUGUCAUCUGUAGCUCUCAGUUUCAACCACCAGAAUUGAAACUCAAGGACACCAUGGCAUGCAACAAUUAAUUUGAGUGAGAAAGAAAAAGUCAGUGUGCCUUAAUCCUCAUUGCCUUUCCAUGUUGGGUUUUAUUGAGCAUAUUAUUACUAAUUUCAAGGAAUAGUUUGUUUCUUAACCUUGUUCUAGAAUUUAUUCCAUGGAGAGACAAACCAUAUUACAGAAAUAUUUUUAAUAGGCAUUUUUCAUGCCAAAUGAGGAAUUGAUUUGAACCAAUUUUUCUCAUAUACAACUGAAAUAUAAUCUUUUCAGGACAAUGCCAUUUGAUUUCUCAUCUGACUGUGAUUGUCCUAACUGCUUGGAGAGUACUCAAAAUGAGUCUGAUUGGAAUCCCUGUUUCAGCAAGAGUAGUAAUGACUCUUUUUACCCAAGAUCAAGAAAAAAAUCCGUGUUUUGUUCUGGUGUGCAUUGCUUUGCUUCUCAGUGUUUUUCCACCAGGCCAGAGAAUGACACCAAAGACUCAGGGUUUCUUCCCUCGGAGGAGGAAAGCUA